GGAGAAAUCAAAUCCUACAAAUGUACAAUAGAUAACGGAAAUUAAUUUACUUUUCAGUAUAGUUCGUUUACAUAUAUGAAGAAGGAAUUCCAAGAUGUCAACACCAUUUAUCUUUCGAUUUCUCAUUAUGUACAGAGAGAACAAGGUAUAUGCAUUAUGGACGUCACGUAGUUGUAUAAUGAAACGAAAGAGAGUGCGGGAGAAAAAUGGUUUCCGAAUACGAAGAAGUCAAACUAAACUGAUAGUGAUAUCACGUUUUCUUUCAUAUAAAAUGACUCAUGAUUGAAAAUCGUCUGGUUUACUCUGUUAUGUUUAACGAGUUUUGUAUUAUACUAUGCAGGAAUAAGACAGAAAGGAGAACCGAUAGAGAGAGAGUUUAAAUGUAUUUAUAUUAUAAAAAUAAAAAUGCAACAAAGGUACGGAAAGGUUACUGCAUAUAGCUUGAUUCUAGUUAUACGUUAUGUCAUAUGCUGACACACCUUAAAACAUGUCUGUCUUUGAGUUUGCUUUUUCAAGGAGCGAGAUAACUCGACUCCCGACUGAGUUACUCUUUAAUUGCUCUUCAGAUUGCGCUCAC
Molecule: long non-coding RNA, 577 nt
Organism: Pogonomyrmex barbatus (red harvester ant)
Lineage: Eukaryota; Metazoa; Arthropoda; Insecta; Hymenoptera; Formicidae
Source: RefSeq, a predicted model, not a curated record